GGCUGUUUAUCUGGGCCUCCAAGUACCCUGCUUGCGCCUGGAGGUCUCUCACCCCCAGGUCCUGCUCAAAGCUGUGCACUUGGGCCCCCAGGCAUGCGGCUUGCUCCGGAAGGUCCCUUACCUGUGGCACUGAGCAUGUACUUCCUGCAGUGCAGUUAGAAAUGCCCAUCCGACUCUGCUUGCAAAGGCACAGCUGCUUAAAGACUGUUACCGGAAAGGAAUCCUGAUCCAGACGCCAAGAGAGGGUUCUUGGACUCAUGCAAGAAAGACUUCAGGACAGAGAUCAUGGAAGUUGGGCCCGACUGGAUGAGAUUUGGGGGUCUUUGGAAGUGGAGAAUGUGUUUGCCCUGGGGAAGAGAGGUGAUGUCUAGGAGACCUCUUCACUCAGGGCAAGCUCUAUGACCUGCUUUGACUCCAGAAUGUGGUAGAAGUGGCAUCACAUAAAUUGCAGAGCCUAGGCUUCAAGAGACCUUGCAACUUGCCUCUCACUGACUUGAAGUGCUCCCAUCAGAGCAUCUUGUAAGGAGCAGGUGGAGCAUGUGGACAAGCCAUCCCCACCAGCCCCUGAGACAUGUGAGAGAGGCCAGAACAGGCCAUCCGGACCCCACUGUGCUGGUGGAUGAGACAGCAGAAGGAAUAUCAACCUACCAACAGAAUCCUGAGAAAUGCUCACUCUUACUUCAAGCUGCUGCAUUUUGAUGUUAUGAAACCAUAAAUAACUUAUGAAGUCAUCUUUGCUGACUUAAAGUUUUCCAUAACUUUAUUAUAACAUAUCAAAAUUAUGAAAAAUGUGAAAAGUAGAAAACUGAUGAAUUUUGCUUCUUCAUAUGGUCUUUAAGAAUCUCAAAGGCACUGAAGUUUUUUAUCUUUUCUGUCUUAGAAUAAAAAACCUUGAAUGAAAAUCUGCUUCUUGGAAAAGCAGCAAGGUUUAUGCAGAGGCAAUCUGGUAUUUGUGUGCACUGGCAGCUGAUCAUACCCAGCAUGCACGCACUCUCAGGGCAGAGUCUGAUGCCCCACAUAAUGGGGCAUGGUAAGGACUCCCAUGUCCUUGAGAUAAAAUGAUAAGGAAAAUACACACUGCUAUUAGAAUAACAGGCCCAGCUUCUGCACAUUUUAAUUCCCAAAGUUUUCAUGAAAGACAAUGAUUUUUUGGUACCAUGUUUAACUCUACAAGAAUCAGUAGUGAAAACUAAAAAUGAUACUUUGUGAAAGUUCAUUAAUUUUGUUUUCAGCCAGUGGUGGCCUUGGUCAGAUAGAAUCAAAUCUAUGAUACUUUUUAUCAGAAAUGCUUAUACUGUGUACAAACCCAAAGUGAUGGCUUUCAAAGAUUGAAUUUGAUUAUUUUCUGUAUGGUGCAGAUGAAAAAUUACUACACAGGAGAAGGUGGGUUGGAGGUGCUCACGAGUAACCAGGAAACAGUCUGAAGUUUUUCUGAUACUUCUCCUUGGUCCAACCAAAUGUGAGAUAUAAACACAAACUUG
Molecule: long non-coding RNA, 1481 nt
Filed under: Homo sapiens (human)
Lineage: Eukaryota; Metazoa; Chordata; Mammalia; Primates; Hominidae
Description: HSALNT0346803
Source: RNAcentral